RNAcentral lists this long non-coding RNA (1822 nucleotides) under Malus domestica (apple). RNAcentral's name for it is "long non-coding RNA (MDOM_LNC009300)". Lineage: Eukaryota; Viridiplantae; Streptophyta; Magnoliopsida; Rosales; Rosaceae. The record is from RNAcentral.
UGCGAGGCUGUUCUGCUUGUAGCUUAUGUUGCCUUGGUUGGCUGAGCUUGUGGUGUUUGAAGGUGAGGGAGUCCCUUUUAUAGAAUAAGGGAUUGCUCAUCAAUACAUAAAUAUGGGCUAGAGUUGAUGCUCACGGCGAGGCAGUUGCUCAGUAGGCGGCGAUGCUCUUUAAUGAUGUGAGGGAAUCCAUUUUAUAGAAUAAGGGCUCGCUCCUCAAUACAUGAAUAAUAGGCUAGAGUUGAUGCUCUCUAAUGAUGGUGAGGGAGUCCCUUUUAUAAAAUAAGGGCUCGCUCCUCAAUACAUAAAUAUGGGCUAGAGUUGAUGCUCUUUAAUGGUGGUGAUGGAGUCCCUUUUAUAGAAUAAGGGCUCACUCCUCAAUACAUAAAUAAUGGGCUAGAGUCCCCUAAGUAUUUUUCAUGAGGCCCAAUAUAUGGUACAUAGUGUAGUCCCCAAAGUCUUCGGUCAAUGGAGUCUGUUGGUUGUUCGGAGGCAAUAUUUGCAUACCCUGCACUGAAGCUUUAUAGGUGAAGCUUUGCAAGUGAAGCUUUGAAGCUGGAGCUCUGUAAAUGAAGCUUUUGAAGCUAGAGCUUUUGUAAAUGAAGCUUUUGAAGCUAGAGCUCUGUAAAUGAAGCUUUUGAAGCUAGAGCUUUUGUAAAUGAAGCUUUUGAAGCUGAUUGACAUGAGUGAUGCUCAUGAAUGUUUAUGUUGAUUGACAUGAGUGAUGCUCAUGGAUGUUGACAUGAGUGAUGCUCAUGAAUGUUUAUGUAUGAUUGAUAUGAGUAAUGCUCAUGAAUGUUUAUGUAUGAUUGACAUAAGUAAUGCUUAUGUAUAAUUUGAAGUAUUGGGUGUACUUUGAUCACUUGGUUGGCGAUAAUAGCGGCAGGCUGCCGAAUAAUUUUGGAGUACUGGACGUACUUUUGAUCACCUGGUUAGCGAUAAUAGUGGCGGGGUGCCGAAUAAUUUUUUGUAGUACUAGGCGUACUUUUGGUCACCUGGUUGGUGAUAAUAGCGGCAGGGUGCCGAAUAAUUUUUUGUAGUACUCGCGUACUUUUGGUCACCUGGUUGGUGAUAAUAGCAGCAGGGUGCCGAAUAAUUUUUUGUAGUAUUGGACAUACUUUUGGUCACUUAUUGGUGCUAUUUUGGGCUUAUGGGCCUUCGCCCUCCACACAACAUUCCAGCCCAUUUAUUUUGGGCUUUGCGGUUUUUUUUAUUACACUCUGAUGAGGUUAUACAAAUGUCUCCGAAAGAUAAGAAAAAUAAAUUACAUCAUUCUGGUGGGGUGUUUAUUCCUUACUUUUGCAAUGUCCUCAUGUGCCUCCCUUUUGCUUUCUCUUUAUUUUUCUUUCUUUUAGCAGAUUACAGACAAGGGAAUAAUUCCAUUUCCUUUUUUUGCUUUUGCUUUCUGCUUUGCUUUUGUUUUUCUACUUUGCUUUUGUUUUUUCACCGCACUCUCUCUGUCUCUUCACCUGGUAGACAAAAUGAAUAAAAAUAGAAUUGAUAAUAGGAACUUAUCUUCUUCCUUAUUUUCCUGCACGUUGUGGAUCCACGUUUAGCCCAUCUUCCUUUUUCUUUUUCUAACUUCAUGAUUGAUUCCAACCUUUCAAUUCUUCUCCGAUGGAUUGUUGUCGAAGAUGAUGACGGCACUAAGGAUGUAGAACACAACGGGAUUGACAAAAACAUGAACAAUGAUAGGUUGGAAUUGGAAAUACGAACCCAUCUCAAUCGCCAUCUUCAUGUGAGGAGGAGGAGGAUGACUUUGGCAAAGGUGAGUUCAAUCAGAGUAAUCAUGGAAUACAGAAUCUAAUAUGUCAGCCAUUGGCGA